This 331-nucleotide unclassified non-coding RNA is filed under the name soil metagenome. RNAcentral describes it as "partial contains 5.8S ribosomal RNA, internal transcribed spacer 2, and large subunit ribosomal RNA". The stretch from base 1 to 120 matches the Rfam family "5.8S ribosomal RNA", at positions 35 to 154 of the family's 154-position model. The record is from RNAcentral.
GAUGAAGAACGUAGUGAAAUGCGAUAAGUAAUGUGAAUUGCAGAAUUCAGUGAAUCAUCGAAUCUUUGAACGCACAUUGCGCCCCCUGGUAUUCCGGGGGGCAUGCCUGUUCGAGCGUCAUUUCACCACUCAAGCCUCGCUUGGUAUUGGGCAACGCGGUCCGCCGCGUGCCCCAAAUCGACCGGCUGGGUCUUCUGUCCCCUAAGCGUUGUGGAAACUAUUCGCUAAAGGGUGCUCGGGAGGCUACGCCGUAAAACAAACCCAUUUCUAAGGUUGACCUCGGAUCAGGUAGGGAUACCCGCUGAACUUAAGCAUAUCAAUAAGCGGAGGA